RNAcentral lists this long non-coding RNA (296 nucleotides) under Junco hyemalis (dark-eyed junco). RNAcentral's name for it is "lncRNA (ENSJHYG00000012839.1)". Lineage: Eukaryota; Metazoa; Chordata; Aves; Passeriformes; Passerellidae. The record is from RNAcentral.
GAAGUUCACUAAAACCCAGUCUGAUUUUAAUUGUAUUAAUCAUUUCUUGAUCCUUGGUAGUACUUUUUAAUUAUUUUGAUAUUUCAGUUUCAGAGGAGGAUUUCAAAAGAACAUGCUGGCAUCACCUAGUCAGAAUUUGGGUGCAGGACUGUCUGGCUGUGAAACUGUGCAUCAGUAGCAAAGGCUUGGAAAUCUUCAUCAGGAGUAUAUUUUUCACUGUCUACCAUGAAUCAAAACUCUUCUGUCCAUGGAGAGAAUGUGUGACAAAGUGAUUGCUUCAAAAUGGUAAUAAAAGA